This 203-nucleotide small nucleolar RNA is filed under the name Theileria equi strain WA. RNAcentral describes it as "ACEA small nucleolar RNA U3". It matches the Rfam family "ACEA small nucleolar RNA U3". From Rfam's summary of the family: Small nucleolar RNAs (snoRNAs) are involved in the processing and modification of rRNA in the nucleolus. There are two main classes of snoRNAs: the box C/D class, and the box H/ACA class. Lineage: Eukaryota; Apicomplexa; Aconoidasida; Piroplasmida; Theileriidae. The record is from Rfam by way of RNAcentral.
UCGACUGUGCUCGUACAGGAUCACUUCUAUAGUGAAUCCGACUAUCGAUAACAUCAGCGACAGGUGCCGUCAACAACCGUGAUGAUGAGUUUUACGCUCUGCCGCUUACGGAAUUAAGUUAUCAAAUGUCUAUCAUUUGUUUGACGUCGAUGAAGUUUGUAAACCUAUUAGGUUUCUACGGCAUUGAGCGAAUCUGAACGGCU